This 324-nucleotide long non-coding RNA is filed under the name Carica papaya (papaya). RNAcentral describes it as "long non-coding RNA (CPAP_LNC012855)". Lineage: Eukaryota; Viridiplantae; Streptophyta; Magnoliopsida; Brassicales; Caricaceae. The record is from RNAcentral.
UUCGGAGUGAAGUGAGGUAUUUACAUCCGUCUCUCUUAAAUCUGGACUGUCUAUCGCUUUUGAUCUCGACCGUUCGAUCGCAUUUAAAUAGAAAAUAAAUCUGAACCGUUCAUCACGAUUUGAUCUAGAUUGUACGAUCACGCCUGAUGAGAAAAUGGAUCUGGACCGUCCACGCGCAUGAGAACAAUUUCGGACCGUCCGAUCGCUGGCAUGCGGAUUGCUAGCGUGGCCUCCCGUAUGACAACGCGUCAGCGUGCCUUCCACGCGAUGCGCUCCAGUUCGUCGGGGCUACUGAUUAGGUGGUCCUACGUGUCAUAUUUUUUU